CAUUUUUUUCCACCCUAAAGACGCCUUAACCUCACCCCCCUCUCCUUUUUUUUUUUGUGAUAAACCCUAAGCGCCGCAGUAGAUUUUUCUUCUUCCAUCGCCAAAAAUGGCAAGGAUAUAGAGGGAUCAGGUUUCACGCAGUCCUGGUACGCCUAAAUCGAGUAGAAUAAUCAAUGCUUUGUACGAAUCCUUGGUGUAUACAUCAAACAAGGUAAUUUCAAUCUCUUUUCCCCUUUUUCUUUCUGUGAUUUCUUAGUCAAAGACGUAAGGGCAUGGAUCUGAACCCAGUGACCUCAAUUUUCAUAGGUCGAAUAUCAUUUGACCUGGAUCGAGGUGAACUGGCCAAGGUCAAACCCUUCAUCAUUGUUUAAUGAAGAUCUAAGCCGUUCGUUUCAAAGUAAAGCACAAAUUUAGGAAAAACUUACAAGUCCCACAUCGAUGGACUAGGAUGUUGAUAUCUUUUAGGGGUUCUAUAUAGAACCCCAUCCUUUGAGUUUUAGACAAGUUUGAAAACCACAUAGCUUAAAUUUUGAGAAAACCACUUGAGAUUAAAGCUUUCAGUAAAAUUUUGUUUAGACUUGACUAUGAAGUUGGGUCUUUAGUUGAACAAUUUAUUUAUUUCUGCCUUUUCUUGUGCGGCUGAGUUCGAGAAUUGGAAGCACAGAGGCUCCAAGUCCAUUCUUGCUCCGGUUGCACAUCAAAAAGCCAACCUGUUAGGCCAAGCGCAACUGGAAAUUCCUUCACAUUUAUCGAGUCCGACGAACAAAAGGAAGAUAAUAUUAAAGAAACGUGUAGAAGGCCCAACCAUGGGUGAAAAUGGCCAACUAGGGGCUUGGUGCGCCCCUAGCCUCCCCCCCCCCCCCCCCCCCCUUUUUUUUUUUUUACUUUAUUUAGUUAUUUACGACUUUUUUUUCUUUAUUUGUGAAGUUUGUCGUAUUGUGUAAAAUUUGUAAAAGUCAUAUAUUAUUGGAAUCUUUUAUGAUUAUGAA
Molecule: long non-coding RNA, 989 nt
Organism: Lycium barbarum (goji berry)
Lineage: Eukaryota; Viridiplantae; Streptophyta; Magnoliopsida; Solanales; Solanaceae
Exons: 2
Source: RefSeq, a predicted model, not a curated record